Long non-coding RNA from Camelina sativa (false flax), 350 nucleotides. RefSeq lists it as uncharacterized. The record is from RefSeq and is a predicted model, not a curated record. NCBI's taxonomy places the organism in Eukaryota, Viridiplantae, Streptophyta, Magnoliopsida, Brassicales, Brassicaceae.
UCUCCCGAUACUCUCUCUCGCAGCGGAGGAACCCUAGAAUUUGGGCGUUUUCAAUUUCGGGUCAAUCUGAAGUAAUUGCAUCCAAUAUUUUCAUCAUCUAGUUCUGAGUGGCUAUGAAUUCGAUCUAGUGGAGCUUUCUCAUGGAAGAAGAAGGGUAAUCAUCAACACAAUGGUAGUUUUCAGAACGGGUUUGGGUGAUGCACCUCCUCACAGAAGAUGGAAUGCAGUGAAGAGAUGGUGAAUAGACAAAUGGUUGAAAACACUGUUCUGUUUAUUCGGUAGCAGUGGAAGAUGAAGAGACAGAUGGGUGGAGUGAGGGGCGCCACAUAGAUCUGUGAAAGGAUCUAUGA